Molecule: ribosomal RNA, 516 nt
Filed under: uncultured bacterium
Lineage: Bacteria
Description: bacterial SSU rRNA
Rfam family: Bacterial small subunit ribosomal RNA
Source: RNAcentral
GAUGAACGCUGGCGGCGUGCCUAAUACAUGCAAGUCGAGCGAACGGAUGAGAAGCUUGCUUCUCUGAUGUUAGCGGCGGACGGGUGAGUAACACGUGGAUAACCUACCUAUAAGACUGGGAUAACUUCGGGAAACCGGAGCUAAUACCGGAUAAUAUUUUGAACCGCAUGGUUCAAAAGUGAAAGACGGUCUUGCUGUCACUUAUAGAUGGAUCCGCGCUGCAUUAGCUAGUUGGUAAGGUAACGGCUUGCCAAGGCAACGAUGCAUAGCCGACCUGAGAGGGUGAUCGGCCACACUGGAACUGAGACACGGUCCAGACUCCUACGGGAGGCAGCAGUAGGGAAUCUUCCGCAAUGGGCGAAAGCCUGACGGAGCAACGCCGCGUGAGUGAUGAAGGUCUUCGGAUCGUAAAACUCUGUUAUUAGGGAAGAACAUAUGUGUAAGUAACUGUGCACAUCUUGACGGUACCUAAUCAGAAAGCCACGGCUAACUACGUGCCAGCCGCCGCGGUAAAAC